This 46-nucleotide non-coding RNA is filed under the name Schistosoma bovis. The record is from RNAcentral. Lineage: Eukaryota; Metazoa; Platyhelminthes; Trematoda; Strigeidida; Schistosomatidae. RNAcentral also lists the same sequence under 1 other name.
GCACUGCAGAGGAUUCCCAAAAUAGGACGAAACGGCCGUCCAGUGU